UAGGGAAUCUUCGGCAAUGGGGGCAACCCUGACCGAGCAACGCCGCGUGAGUGAAGAAGGUUUUCGGAUCGUAAAGCUCUGUUGUAAGUCAAGAACGGGUGUGAGAGUGGAAAGUUCACACUGUGACGGUAGCUUACCAGAAAGGGACGGCUAACUACGUGCCAGCAGCCGCGGUAAUACGUAGGUCCCGAGCGUUGUCCGGAUUUAUUGGGCGUAAAGCGAGCGCAGGCGGUUUGAUAAGUCUGAAGUUAAAGGCUGUGGCUCAACCAUAGUUCNCUUUGGAAACUGUCAAACUUGAGUGCAGAAGGGGAGAGUGGAAUUCCAUGUGUAGCGGUGAAAUGCGUAGAUAUAUGGAGGAACACCGGUGGCGAAAGCGGCUCUCUGGUCUGUAACUGACGCUGAGGCUCGAAAGCGUGGGGAGCGAACAGGAUUAGAUACCCUGGUAGUCCACGCCGUAAACGAUGAGUGCUAGGUGUUGGAUCCUUUCCGGGAUUCAGUGCCGCAGCUAACGCAUUAAGCACUCCGCCUGGGGAGUACGACCGCAAGG
RNAcentral lists this ribosomal RNA (547 nucleotides) under uncultured bacterium. RNAcentral describes it as "partial 16S ribosomal RNA". It matches the Rfam family "Bacterial small subunit ribosomal RNA", at positions 355 to 893 of the family's 1533-position model. The record is from RNAcentral.